UCGGGAAUUUUGGGCAAUGGGCGAAAGCCUGACCCAGCAACGCCGCGUGAGGGAUGAAGUAUUUCGGUAUGUAAACCUCGAAAGAAUGGGAAGAAUAAAUGACGGUACCAUUUAUAAGCUCCGGCUAACUACGUGCCAGCAGCCGCGGUAAUACGUAGGGAGCAAGCGUUGUUCGGAUUUACUGGGCGUAAAGGGCGCGUAGGCGGCGCGGUAAGUCACUUGUGAAGUCUCUGAGCUUAACUCAGAACGGCCAAGUGAUACUGCUGUGCUAGAGUGCGGAAGAGGCAACCGGAAUUCUUGGUGUAGCGGUGAAAUGCGUAGAUAUCAAGAGGAACACCUGAGGCGAAGGCGGGUUGCUGGGCCGACACUGACGCUGAUGCGCGAACGCCAGGGGAGCAAACG
This 402-nucleotide ribosomal RNA is filed under the name uncultured bacterium. RNAcentral's name for it is "bacterial SSU rRNA". It matches the Rfam family "Bacterial small subunit ribosomal RNA", at positions 355 to 774 of the family's 1533-position model. The record is from RNAcentral.